AAUGGCAUGUGCCUGCAGUCCCAGCUACUUGGGACUGGGGUAGGAGGAUCACUAGCGCCCAGGAGUUCUGGGCUACAGGGUGCUAUGCCGAUCAGGUGUCCACAUUAAGUCUGGCAUCAUCCCUGAUGAUCUCCCAGGAGUAGAGGACCACCAAGUUGCCUAAGGAGGGGUGAACCAGCACAGGCUGGAAAUGGAGUAGGUCAAAACUCUCAUGAUGAUCAGUAGUGGGAUUGCACCUGUCAAUAGUCACUGUAUUCCAGCCUGGGCAACAUAGCAAGAUUCCAUCUGU
RNAcentral lists this signal recognition particle RNA (289 nucleotides) under Aotus nancymaae (Ma's night monkey). Its description in RNAcentral is "Metazoan signal recognition particle RNA (ENSANAG00000000192.1)". It matches the Rfam family "Metazoan signal recognition particle RNA". Rfam says of the family: The signal recognition particle (SRP) is a universally conserved ribonucleoprotein. It is involved in the co-translational targeting of proteins to membranes. The record is from RNAcentral. Lineage: Eukaryota; Metazoa; Chordata; Mammalia; Primates; Aotidae.